GCCGAUGUAGCUCAGCUGGCAGAGCAACGCUUUCGUAAAGCGUGGGUCGUCGGUUCGAAUCCGACCAUCGGCU
Molecule: transfer RNA, 73 nt
Filed under: Candidatus Sungbacteria bacterium RIFCSPLOWO2_01_FULL_47_10
Lineage: Bacteria; Candidatus Sungiibacteriota
Also listed under: 1 other name
Description: tRNA-Thr
Rfam family: tRNA
About the family: Transfer RNA (tRNA) molecules are approximately 80 nucleotides in length. Their secondary structure includes four short double-helical elements and three loops (D, anti-codon, and T loops). Further hydrogen bonds mediate the characteristic L-shaped molecular structure. tRNAs have two regions of fundamental functional importance: the anti-codon, which is responsible for specific mRNA codon recognition, and the 3' end, to which the tRNAs corresponding amino acid is attached (by aminoacyl-tRNA synthetases). tRNAs cope with the degeneracy of the genetic code in two manners: having more than one tRNA (with a specific anti-codon) for a particular amino acid; and 'wobble' base-pairing, i.e. permitting non-standard base-pairing at the 3rd anti-codon position.
Source: RNAcentral